RNAcentral lists this long non-coding RNA (372 nucleotides) under Lathyrus oleraceus (garden pea). RNAcentral describes it as "Pisum sativum (pea) long non-coding RNA (PSAT_LNC025354)". Lineage: Eukaryota; Viridiplantae; Streptophyta; Magnoliopsida; Fabales; Fabaceae. The record is from RNAcentral.
UUUUUUUAAUAAGAAAUUAUUUCUUUUAAAAAACGAAAAAACGGGUACAAAGGGUACUCGAAACCUUUACAAGCAACCAAAUCAACCAGUUGAUAAUAAACAAGACAAUGGAGAGGAGCACCAAUAAAAAAACUAAAUGAAAAAAAGGAGUUGUUCGUAACACUAAGCCAAUCCCAAGAUAAGACAUUUACUCUCGACCAACACUCCUCAAACUUCGGAACACGUCCUUUGAACAAAACCUUGUUACGCACCAUCCAAAUAUUCCAAAUAGCCGCUAGCCAGAUAACACUGGCCAAUCCACGUUCCUCAUCCACCUUCAACAAAUGAAACUUGAAAGGAAACAAUGAUAAAUCCUCCGUUGACAUCACAAAA